RNAcentral lists this ribosomal RNA (497 nucleotides) under uncultured bacterium. RNAcentral describes it as "partial 16S ribosomal RNA". It matches the Rfam family "Bacterial small subunit ribosomal RNA", at positions 28 to 507 of the family's 1533-position model. The record is from RNAcentral.
GAUGAACGCUGGCGGCGUGCCUAAUACAUGCAAGUCGAGCGAACAGACGAGGAGCUUGCUCCUCUGACGGUAGCGGCGGACGGGUGAGUAACACGUGGAUAACCUACCUAUAAGACUGGGAUAACUUCGGGAAACCGGAGCCAAUACCGGAUAAUAUAUUGAACCGCAUGGUUCAAUAGUGAAAGACGGUUUUGCUGUCACUUAUAGAUGGAUCCGCGCCGCAUUAGCUAGUUGGUAAGGUAACGGCUUACCAAGGCAACGAUGCGUAGCCGACCUGAGAGGGUGAUCGGCCACACUGGAACUGAGACACGGUCCAGACUCCUACGGGAGGCAGCAGUAGGGAAUCUUCCACAAUGGGCGAAAGCCUGACGGAGCAACGCCGCGUGAGUGAUGAAGGUCCUCGGAUCGUAAAACUCUGUUAUUAGGGAAGAACAAAUGUGUAAGUAACUAUGCACGUCUUGACGGUACCUAAUCAGAAAGCCCCGGCUAACUACGUG